RNAcentral lists this transfer RNA (74 nucleotides) under Candidatus Yanofskybacteria bacterium RIFCSPHIGHO2_01_FULL_44_22. RNAcentral describes it as "tRNA-Gln". It matches the Rfam family "tRNA". Rfam says of the family: Transfer RNA (tRNA) molecules are approximately 80 nucleotides in length. Their secondary structure includes four short double-helical elements and three loops (D, anti-codon, and T loops). Lineage: Bacteria; Candidatus Yanofskyibacteriota. The record is from RNAcentral.
UGCCGGGUCAUCUAACGGUAGGAUAGUGGACUCUGAAUCCAUUCAUCUUGGUUCGAAUCCAAGCCCGGCAGCCA